CCUACGGGAGGCUGCAGUGGGGAAUAUUGGACAAUGGGGGGAACCCUGAUCCAGCCAUGCCGCGUGUGUGAAGAAGGCCCUCGGGUUGUAAAGCACUUUCAGUGAGGAAGAACGCCUGGUGGUUAAUACCCAUCAGGAAAGACAUCACUCACAGAAGAAGCACCGGCUAACUCCGUGCCAGCAGCCGCGGUAAUACGGAGGGUGCGAGCGUUAAUCGGAAUUACUGGGCGUAAAGCGCGCGUAGGUGGCUUGAUAAGCCGGUUGUGAAAGCCCCGGGCUCAACCUGGGAACGGCAUCCGGAACUGUCGAGCUAGAGUGCAGGAGAGGAAGGUAGAAUUCCCGGUGUAGCGGUGAAAUGCGUAGAGAUCGGGAGGAAUACCAGUGGCGAAGGCGGCCUUCUGGACUGACACUGACACUGAGGUGCGAAAGCGUGGGUAGCAAACAGGAUUAGAUACACUUGUAGUC
RNAcentral lists this ribosomal RNA (465 nucleotides) under Vreelandella stevensii. Its description in RNAcentral is "partial 16S ribosomal RNA". It matches the Rfam family "Bacterial small subunit ribosomal RNA", at positions 338 to 795 of the family's 1533-position model. Lineage: Bacteria; Pseudomonadati; Pseudomonadota; Gammaproteobacteria; Oceanospirillales; Halomonadaceae. The record is from RNAcentral.